Molecule: ribosomal RNA, 206 nt
Filed under: uncultured bacterium
Lineage: Bacteria
Description: partial 16S ribosomal RNA
Rfam family: Bacterial small subunit ribosomal RNA
Source: RNAcentral
AGCGCAGGCGGGCGAUCAAGUUGGAAGUGAAAUCCAUGGGCUCAACCCAUGAACUGCUUUCAAAACUGGUCGUCUUGAGUAGUGCAGAGGUAGGCGGAAUUCCCGGUGUAGCGGUGGAAUGCGUAGAUAUCGGGAGGAACACCAGUGGCGAAGGCGGCCUACUGGGCACCAACUGACGCUGAGGCUCGAAAGUGUGGGUAGCAAAC